AGGGUCGAUUUGAAUUAUUUUCUCUUGAAUCUUGCUUGAAUCGAAGGCCUGAAUAGGCUUGAACCAAGCCUGGAUAGGGAUCAACCCUUGAACCCUUUUUGAUCUUUCUUUCUUUUUUGAUUCUUGAAGAAACCAAGAACCUUUCUUGAUUCUUGAAGAAACCAAGAACCUUUCUUGAUUUCUCAACUAAUUAAGUAGUAUCAAAAAGUAGUUGUAACAAACUCCCAACAAACUUGAAAGGAAGAAGAAACCAAGAACCUUGGCACCAACCCUUGACACUAUUGGAAAAGGUCACUUGAAAGGAAGAAGAAACAAAAGAUCAGUCACACAACUACAGCAUCGAGAUGAUCACUGACGAUUGAAUAAAAAUCCAUGUGAUCUCUCGUAUGGUCAUGCUCAGUACUAGUUCUCUAACAACGAUCCGUAUUUGCCGCUCAGUGUCUUUACACUGUAGAUUAGAGACUCAUCUACUCCGAAGAAAGUGAAUCGUGCGUUGGUCUAUUUGGAUAGAUCGUCGUCCCCAUGAC
RNAcentral lists this long non-coding RNA (527 nucleotides) under Elaeis guineensis (African oil palm). RNAcentral describes it as "long non-coding RNA (EGUI_LNC038915)". The record is from RNAcentral. Lineage: Eukaryota; Viridiplantae; Streptophyta; Magnoliopsida; Arecales; Arecaceae.